This 20-nucleotide unclassified non-coding RNA is filed under the name Mus musculus (house mouse). RNAcentral's name for it is "oocyte_clustered_small_RNA13735". Lineage: Eukaryota; Metazoa; Chordata; Mammalia; Rodentia; Muridae. The record is from RNAcentral.
AGGCUUCCUGCGGUGAAACG